This is a long non-coding RNA of Oncorhynchus keta (chum salmon), 1182 nucleotides long. RefSeq lists it as uncharacterized. The transcript has 4 exons. The record is from RefSeq and is a predicted model, not a curated record. Lineage: Eukaryota; Metazoa; Chordata; Actinopteri; Salmoniformes; Salmonidae.
AAUAGACAGUAACAGCAGUAUACUGUAGGUAGGGGUAAAGGAUAGAUAAUAGACAGUAACAGCAGUAUACUGUAGGUAGGGGUAAAGGAUAGAUAAUAGACAGUAACAGCAGUAUACUGUAGGUAAAGGACAGAUAAUAGACAGUAACAGCAGUAUACUGUAGGUAGGGGUAAAGGAUAGAUAAUAGACAGUAACAGCAGUAUACUGUAGGUAGGGGUAAAGGAUAGAUAAUAGACAGUAACAGUAUACUGUAGGUAGGGGUAAAGGAUAGAUAAUAGACAGUAACAGCAGUAUACUGUAGGUAGGGGUAAAGGAUAGAUAAUAGACAGUAACAGCAGUAUACUGUAGGUAGGGGUAAAGGAUAGAUAAUAGACAGUAACAGCAGUAUACUGUAGGUAGGGGUAAAGGAUAGAUAAUAGACAGUAACAGCAGUAUACUGUAGGUAGGGGUAAAGGAUAGAUAAUAGACAGUAACAGCAGUAUACUGUAGGGGUAAAGGAUAGAUAAUAGACAGUAACAGCAGUAUACUGUAGGUAGGGGGUAAAGGAUAGAUAAUAGACAGAACAGCAGUAUACUGUAGGUAGGGGUAAAGGAUAGAUAAUAGACAGUAACAGCAGUAUACUGUAGGUAGAGGUAAAGGAUAGAUAAUAGACAGUAACAGCAGUAUACUGUAGGUAGGGGUAAAGGAUAGAUAAUAGACAGUAACAGCAGUAUACUGUAGGUAGGGGUAAAGGAUAGAUAAUAGACAGUAACAGCAGUAUACUGUAGGUAGAGGUAAAGGAUAGAUAAUAGACAGUAACAGCAGUAUACUGUAGGUAGGGGUAAAGGAUAGAUAAUAGACAGUAACAUCAGUAUACUGUAGGUAGGGGUAAAGGAUAGAUAAUAGACAGUAACAGCAGUAUACUGUAGGUAGGGGUAAAGGAUAGAUAAUAGACAGUAACAGCAGUAUACUGUAGGUAGGGGUAAAGGAUAGAUAAUAGACAGUAACAGCAGUAUACUGUAGGUAGGGGUAAAGGAUAGAUAAUAGACAGUAACAGCAGUAUACUGUAGGUAGGGGUAAAGGAUAGAUAAUAGACAGUAACAGCAGUAUACUGUAGGUAGGGGUAAAGGAUAGAUAAUAGACAGUAACAGCAGUAUACUGUAGGUAGGGGUAAAGGAUAGAUAGUAGACAAUAACAGCAGUA